Oncorhynchus mykiss (rainbow trout) is the source of this 226-nucleotide non-coding RNA. Lineage: Eukaryota; Metazoa; Chordata; Actinopteri; Salmoniformes; Salmonidae. The record is from RefSeq and is a predicted model, not a curated record.
AGAUAUGUUUCUUAGAGGAGGUCUAGGCUAUAGUCUAUAUCAGAUACGUUUCUUAGAGGAGGUCUAGGCUAUAGUCUAUAUCAGAUACGUUUCUUAGAGGAGGUCUAGGCUAUGGGUCAUAUCAGAUACGUUUCUUAGAGGAGGUCUAGGCUAUAGUCUAUAUCAGAUAUGUUUCUUAGAGGAGGUCUAGGCUAUAGUCUAUAUCAGAUACGUUUCUUAGAGGAGG